CAAAUUUACGUAUCAACUUGACUUGUAAGUUUUGUGCCGGACUUGGCCGAGUCAGCCACUUGACAGUUUUUUUAGAACAUCCCAAUCUUACCGGACCUUCACAUUUCGUGCGAGAGUCACUCAAAAUUCAACUCCCAAUUCCUUGAUGUCAAAUUCCGUCCCUUCUUCUCCGUCAUCCUCCUCCUCAAUGGCCUCCCAUGCUGCAAUCAUGCAAUCGUUCUCAUGCACUUCUCCUUCAACGGAUUCAUUGGAAUCUACCUCCCACUUCGUUCCUGUUCCAUCAACAUCUCCCCGUCCCAUAGAAACAUUCACACAUUCGCUGACUCGGCCCCUCCAAUUCCAAAAAGGUCCAUUUCUGAAUCUCAGCCAUUACCUGCUAUUUCCUUCACCCCUCAACUUCGAUCAACAUCUCCUACAACCAAAAAGUUGGUACAUCGGAAGAAAAGGAAGGUCGAUGAAAUUGAGCACUUAUUCGAAGAUGGCGAUUUCAAGAACCUUAAGAAAAAAAAAGAUGGAACUGGAGAUGGAACUAAUCAAACAGCAAAUCAAGCUAAUGCAAGCACAAACCGCCUAUUAUGUGAAUUUGGCAAAUUCGACGUCCAAUCCAAUUAAGGAACUCACAUAAUGAUGACAAAAGGAAGUUCAGAAUAUUUUCCAAUACGUAAU
This is a long non-coding RNA of Tigriopus californicus, 666 nucleotides long. RefSeq lists it as uncharacterized. The transcript is spliced from 3 exons. NCBI's taxonomy places the organism in Eukaryota, Metazoa, Arthropoda, Copepoda, Harpacticoida, Harpacticidae. The record is from RefSeq and is a predicted model, not a curated record.